Molecule: small RNA, 296 nt
Filed under: Saccharopolyspora rectivirgula
Lineage: Bacteria; Bacillati; Actinomycetota; Actinomycetes; Pseudonocardiales; Pseudonocardiaceae
Description: 5' ureB small RNA
Rfam family: 5' ureB small RNA
Source: Rfam by way of RNAcentral
CGGUGGAGACCUGUUGGGGGCAGAUGAAGUGCACGUGGCAGUCGAUGCCGCCGGCGGUGAGGAUCUUGCCGUUGCCGGCGAUGAUCUCGGUGGAGGGCCCGAUCACCAGGUCGGGGUCGACGUGGGGGUCCACGUCCGGGUUGCCGGCUUUGCCGAUGCCGGUGAUCCGGCCGUCGCGGAUGCCGAUGUCGGCUUUGACGACGCCCCAGUGGUCCAGGACCACCGCGCCGGUGAUGACCACGUCCGGGGCGCCUUCGGCGCGGGUGGCCACCGACUGGCCCAUGGAUUCGCGCACG